This 501-nucleotide ribosomal RNA is filed under the name Scopelosaurus harryi (scaly paperbone). RNAcentral's name for it is "partial 16S ribosomal RNA". It matches the Rfam family "Bacterial large subunit ribosomal RNA", at positions 1960 to 2603 of the family's 2925-position model. The record is from RNAcentral. Lineage: Eukaryota; Metazoa; Chordata; Actinopteri; Aulopiformes; Notosudidae.
CGCAAUCACUUGUCCUUUAAAUGAGGACCCGUAUGAAUGGCAUAACGAGGGCUUGACUGUCUCCCUUAUCUAGUCAAUGAAAUUGAUCUCCCCGUGCAGAAGCGGGGAUGGGAUCAUAAGACGAGAAGACCCUAUGGAGCUUUAGAUAAUCAGACGGCCCACGCAAAACAGUACCACCCACAACUGGACUGACCCUUUAGUGGAGCCCCCGUCUUAUGUCUUUGGUUGGGGCGACCAUGGGGAAAAGAAAAUCCCCCAUGAGGAACGAGGGCCUCCCCCUUAUAGCCGAGAGCUACGACUCCAAGCAUCAGAACCUCUGACCCUAAUGAUCCGGCCCACCAGCCGAUCAACGAACCGAGUUACCCUAGGGAUAACAGCGCAAUCUCCUCUCAGAGCCCAUAUCGACGAGGAGGUUUACGACCUCGAUGUUGGAUCAGGACAUCCUAAUGGUGCAGCCGCUAUUAAGGGUUCGUUUGUUCAACGAUUAACAGUCCUACGUGA